UUGAACGCAUCCUACACCCACCGUUUCCCGGUGUCUGCCUACGUUUCACAUCUUAUAUAACCGUCGCCGGCACCACCAUAACCACUGUAAUCUGCCGCAUAUAUCCAUAAGUUCAUACCAAAAUAUAAACCAGAAAACCCACAAAACAAGAAAUUCCCCAGAAGAUGAUGACACCCAAAUGGAAGACGAAGAAAACGGUCGUAGUUUGGUUGUGACACGGAUAAAAGAUUAGAAGAUUCUUUUGGCUUUCGAAAUAGAAAACGGAUCUGAAUUUUGUUAUGCCGGCGAUGUGGAAUAACAAAGGUUUACUUUAGGGUUCCAUGGAUGAAUAGAAAAAAGAAAACGACAGAAUUCUGGCCGGAUACGAAUCUUCUUCUGUUCAUCAUCUUACGGUGGCGGGUAUGGAGGAGGUGCAGGGUUGGGUGUCUGGGUUAAGAGAAAUAGCGGAAGAGAGAGUUUUGGGUUUUUCCUAGAAACGGCUUUUGAAACCCUUUGUCUUUUCGAUUCUCACGUUGAAUAUAACAAUGAGAUUGAUAACUCUGCCAUAUUUUGCAAUUAGGGUAGGUUGAGAUUCACAAUUUUGGGCUUUUUAUCUGCACGGAUCUUAACCCGGAACCAGCUGUUCUGUAUUUGCAAUUUGAUCAUGCAUGAAUGCUUUGGAGUUGGAUUUACGUAUAUCUAUUGUGACUAUCGUACACAUUCUUUUC
This 707-nucleotide long non-coding RNA is filed under the name Helianthus annuus (common sunflower). RNAcentral describes it as "hypothetical non coding rna". The record is from RNAcentral. Lineage: Eukaryota; Viridiplantae; Streptophyta; Magnoliopsida; Asterales; Asteraceae.